Molecule: long non-coding RNA, 412 nt
Filed under: Sinocyclocheilus anshuiensis
Lineage: Eukaryota; Metazoa; Chordata; Actinopteri; Cypriniformes; Cyprinidae
Description: lncRNA (ENSSANG00000021904.1)
Source: RNAcentral
UCUCAACUCAGUCCUUUAAAGAUCAAAUGAAGGCUCAGUCUUCAAGUGAACAGAAUGCCACGGUGCCCUCUCUUCCUCUGUCAAACCCAUCUUACACUCAGAAAAGCCAGGAAAAAACACAGCUGAACCACAACCAGGAUGUCCAAUCUCUCCAGGAACCUGGUCUGUCUGCACACAUCAGUAUCCCACAGCUAGCAGAUACCAGCAGUAACCCUUCAACUGGCUUCUACUCUUCCUUUCAACGACUACCAUAACAAUGCUUUCCGCAACUCUUUCUAUUAUCAGGAGGGACAGAAGACUCUGUUUGUUCGCAGUCAGAGAUUGCAAUCAGUGGGUGGCCUCUCUCUGCUGCUAAUGCACUGUGCUGCACACAUUUCCACCGGCCAGAUGAGGACCGACACCAUUCCUGCCU